Molecule: non-coding RNA, 86 nt
Organism: Homo sapiens (human)
Lineage: Eukaryota; Metazoa; Chordata; Mammalia; Primates; Hominidae
Source: the annotation of a RefSeq genome assembly
AUAGAGUUAGGGCUGAGCUGGGUUUUCUUGUUGCUAUUUUAAAAGGUGUCUAGUGUGAGGUGCAGGUGGUGGAGUGUAGGGGAGAG